Molecule: ribosomal RNA, 253 nt
Filed under: uncultured bacterium
Lineage: Bacteria
Description: partial 16S ribosomal RNA
Rfam family: Bacterial small subunit ribosomal RNA
Source: RNAcentral
UACGUAGGGCGCAAGCGUUAUCCGGAAUUAUUGGGCGUAAAGAGCUCGUAGGCGGUUUGUCGCGUCUGCCGUGAAAGUCCGGGGCUCAACUCCGGAUCUGCGGUGGGUACGGGCAGACUAGAGUGAUGUAGGGGAGACUGGAAUUCCUGGUGUAGCGGUGAAAUGCGCAGAUAUCUGGAGGAACACCGAUGGCGAAGGCAGGUCUCUGGGCAUUAACUGACGCUGAGGAGCGAAAGCGUGGGGAGCGAACAGG